RNAcentral lists this non-coding RNA (148 nucleotides) under Homo sapiens (human). Lineage: Eukaryota; Metazoa; Chordata; Mammalia; Primates; Hominidae. The record is from Rfam by way of RNAcentral.
GCCAGGUGUGGUGGCGCAUACCUGUAAUCCCAGCUACUUGGGAGGCUGAGAUGGGAGAAUCGCUUGAACCUGGGAGGUGAAGACUUCAGUGAGCCAAGAUUGCGCCACUGCACUCCAGCCUGGAUGACAGAGCGAGACCCCGUCUCAA